RNAcentral lists this ribosomal RNA (775 nucleotides) under uncultured Neocallimastigales. RNAcentral's name for it is "partial large subunit ribosomal RNA". It matches the Rfam family "Eukaryotic large subunit ribosomal RNA", at positions 23 to 649 of the family's 3401-position model. Lineage: Eukaryota; Fungi; Neocallimastigomycota; Neocallimastigomycetes; Neocallimastigales. The record is from RNAcentral.
AGAGAUGUGUGAUGACGCAUAUCAAUAAGCGGAGGAAAAGAAACUAACAAGGAUUCCCUUAGUAACGGCGAGUGAAGCGGGAAGAGCUCAAAUUUGAAAUCUUCAAGGUUCUACCUUGACGAAUUGUAGUUUAUAGAAGUGUUUUCUGUUAGUGGAAUGGCAAAAGUUCUUUGGAAUAGGACAUCAUAGAGGGUGAGAAUCCCGUAUUUGGUCAUUCCUCCUAGCGUUGUGAUACACUUUCAACGAGUCGGAUUGUUUGGGAAUGCAGUCCAAAAUGGGUGGUAAAUUUCAUCUAAAGCUAAAUAUUGGCGAGAGACCGAUAGCGAACAAGUACCGUGAGGGAAAGAUGAAAAGAACUUUGAAAAGAGAGUUAAACAGUACGUGAAAUUGUCAAAAGGGAAGCGUUUGACACCAGUGUUGUUUUUCCGAAAAUCAAUUACGAAUGUUUUGUUUUUGAGGAGUUAUGACUUCAUCGGCUUGCUCCUUUCUUUACGAAACUUUCUUAAUGCGCUUUUCGGUUAACAAGUCAACAUCAAUUUCUUUUGUUGUAAAAGGGUAUGAGGAAGGUGGCUUUCUUUUCGGAGAAAGUGUUUAUAGCCUUGUGCCUCUAGCAAUCGGAGAGAUUGAGGUCUGCAGCGUAGAUCCUUCGGGGUUAGAUACGUUUGUGCUAAGUUAUAGCUUUUCAUAGACAACUUGUUGACUAUGUUUAGUCUUGUAGCUUACUCGCUUAUGCUAUUUUACCUACGCUUAGGAUGUUGAGUAGCGACAUACGCAC